Tympanuchus pallidicinctus (lesser prairie-chicken) is the source of this 753-nucleotide long non-coding RNA. RefSeq lists it as uncharacterized. The record is from RefSeq and is a predicted model, not a curated record. The transcript has 3 exons. Lineage: Eukaryota; Metazoa; Chordata; Aves; Galliformes; Phasianidae.
GGUAGCUUUGGCGGCUGCUCCUUCCGAAACGCGAGCGAAUUUGCGAUGUCGAGAGACGGAGCGGGGAGGGGGGGAAGGGGGGAGAAAAGAAGGGGAAAAAAAAAAAAAUCAGAUAAUGCAAUUACGGCUCCUCAAGGGCGAGCGAGCAAUGUCAGAAAAAUAAGAAAGGGCUUCGCAAAGUUUGGCUGCAUGGUUCCUCCGGCUCCGCGAGCGCCGACCGGACCGGGGCUUUUUUGUUGUUGUUGUUGUUAAAUGAUUAUUAUUCAAAAUGUUUGGCGAAAUGCAUUAUAUUGCAUGCCCCCUGGUGACAGUACAGUACCGAGGCUUUUCAUAAACACUCCGAAAUGUAGCCCUUUCCUUGUAAUGUCCUUACGUCAGCUUGCAACAUUGCAAUAUUUCCUCUGCCGGGGCUGGGGCUGGGGCGGGCGGCGGAGGAGGGGGAGGCGAAGCGAGGCGAGGCGGCAGCGCGCGGCCGGGAGGAAGCCGCGUUAUAUUGUAGGUUUGGAAGGCACCCACCACUUCCAUCAGGGCCAGCCCCAUCGCUGUCGCACGCUGGGCUCCUACCCCGGAGCUGCAGCACACAAUCUCAUGUUACACAGAACCUUGACACGAGGGAGCAACUUUAUUGGACAUCAGCAUCAUUCUGACGACAACACUGUCUUCAGCACGGGUCACCAGAGUCUGGCAGGGUACAUGAAACCCAAACGCCCAUCCUACCAGAGGCCAAUAAAAACUUACCAGUUUCUCUUAUAA